Molecule: long non-coding RNA, 548 nt
Filed under: Fukomys damarensis (Damara mole-rat)
Lineage: Eukaryota; Metazoa; Chordata; Mammalia; Rodentia; Bathyergidae
Description: lncRNA (ENSFDAG00000025435.1)
Source: RNAcentral
AUGGGAAGAUGGAGGGGAAGACGGCUGGGCAGGACAGAGGGCCUCAGAAGCGCUGGUGCUGAGAGUUCAGUGUGGCUAGGAGUGGGAGGAGAAGCAGGAGCCCAGUUCUACUGCCAGUGUACACGAACUGUCUCGGGUGCCAUUUCAGGGGCAAGAGUUAUUGUCCUCGGGACAGAGGUGAGAAGACUGAAAUGGGAGAAGCAGGUGGAACUUUUAAUGCCACACAGCACACAUGGAAGACAGGAGAUGGGAGAGAUGGGGCACUUUCUGCCAUUGUCUGGGGACACGGGGGCUCCUUGGGUAUCUACUGAUCCCUGGACCGUCCCCAAUCCUUAAAAUGAAAACCCUAAGCACAAGCAGUUUCUUUUUCUUAGGAGCACAGAGCCUUUGUCUCUGACCUCUGAUAAAGCCCCCAGCCCAUGUCCCCUUUCCUGAAGCCGUUCCCUCUGAGAGGGGCAGGCCAUGGGCCAUGGGUGUUUUCCACUGAGGAUCCCAUAAAGAAUGCUGCACGUAAUAUGAAACGCGUGUGGUUCUUUUCUCUGUCCCUC